RNAcentral lists this long non-coding RNA (2478 nucleotides) under Strigops habroptila (Kakapo). RNAcentral describes it as "lncRNA (ENSSHBG00005004220.1)". The record is from RNAcentral. Lineage: Eukaryota; Metazoa; Chordata; Aves; Psittaciformes; Psittacidae.
UUCAUAGUGCAAAUUAAAUCCAUUUAUUCUUGCAAAGACAGAACAAUUACACUCCUGUUUUGUGUUUCAGACCUCAGUGAUCCCUCAUUAACUCCCUUAGGCUUCCUUCUCGUUCAGUGCAUCUUUCCUCUAGCUUCUAUGGUGCAAUUUACCCUCUUGACUUCAUGUCUGGUGUAUGAGCCCAGUGCACUGGCUCCUCUGCAGGGCGCUCUCUCUCUGCCCGCCCUUCCUGUGCAGUGUUUAGGAUUGUUACCCUGAGAUGGUUGCAAAAAGGUUUGAUAAAGUGCUGAAGAUCAGGGCCUGAGAAGGACCUUUCAGCUCAGUGGCUUUCUCGUGUGGGAGAUGAGCAAUUGGGUUGUUCACAGAACCCCCUGAUCCCUUAUAGAAUCCCAGCCUGGUUUGGGUUGGAGGGACCUUAAAGCUGAUCCAGCUCCAACCCCCUGCUACGGGCAGGGACACCUUCCACUAGAGCAGGUUGCUCCAAGCCCCUGUGUCCAACCUGGCCUUGAACACUGCCAGGGAUGGGGCAGCCACAGCUUCUCUGGGAAAAGUCUGUGCCAGCGCCUCAGCACCCUCACAGGGAAGAGCUUCUGCCUCAGAGCUCAUCUCAAUCUCCCCUCUGGCAGGUUAAAGCCAUUCCCCUUGGCCUGUCCCUACAUAUUCCCCCCAGGCAGAUCUGCUGGUGGUGCCAUGAGUGUGUUCCUACAUCCUUCUGUUCACAUCUUGGGUGCUGGAGAACACAGAACUGGCAGAUAGUGAAGGUACCUCAUCACAUGCUGCCUGCCCUGUAUCGUGGCAUCAUUCUUCUCUGUUCACUCACCCAAAGGAAGCACAAAUCCCUUCCUCUUUCUACAGGUGGCCACCCAUAACUGUACAUCCUAAACCAGGCUUUGGGUGCUUGGGGGUGUCCUUGGUGUGUGGUGCUUGUUCUUGCACCAUCGCCACCAGGGAGGGUUCAGCGCUGGCCCCAGUCCUGCGCAGCCCCAGUUCAUCCCUGUCUGAGGUGAAGGACUCUUUGGCUCUGUGCAACAACAGGUUUCUUCUCCACUGCAUGCAAAAAGCAGCUGCUGCUGCUUCCUCAGAGUCAGGCGUGGGCUGGCACAGACCCUGCGAGACAGAAUAUUUGUGUGCUUUAAUAUAGUGUGCAUGAACUUGUUUAAAAUGCCUUAAACGAUAUAAACGUCUGAGUGUAUCAAUGUGUGUGAGACCAGUGUGGCAUCUCUACCUGUUAAUGCUUUCAAAGUGCUUCAAAACCUGCUUACAGAAUGAGGAAAGGAGGGCAGGAGGGGUAGUUUAGGGCAAUUUCCAAAGGGAAGAAGCCAGGUUGUAAAGGAGUUUGUAAUCUAGGCAAAGAUAAAAGCAUGGCUCGUUCCUUCAGGCUGGCAUCAGUGAGAAAUGGACGUAUAUCAUGUUUUUAGCAGUAAUAAACCACAGGAGGAGCUUUUUCACCCUUGUGGCUGAGUGUCCAUCAAAGAGGGUCCUAACAAAAAGUGUCUCUUCCAGAAAGAGUCAGAAAGCUCAGCACAAGUUGUAGGAUUACACAGGAGACUGGGCACAGGGUGGAAAAGCACCUCAGAGGAGGCUCUGGUUGUGCUUGUGCUUGUUCCUGAGUGCUUUCAGGUAAAGCUGCUCUCACAAGCUGUACAGUUGGAUCAAUCAGCCACCCAAGGGAAGCUCUUGGGGGUGUCGAUCAAAGCUCAUCUUGAGACAACAUAAAGGCUGAGACCAACAUGGACCAUUUCCAAAUGCAGAUCUCCAGUGAGAUGCUGCUGCUCUCCUGUCCCAAAAUGAGAUGGGAGACAGAGCAGCUAAAAGGACUUCAGAGUUGGUAGCAGUGACAGAGCCUAUUGAUGCUUGGGAGGAUGCGUGGUGGGCUUUGGAAACAAGGCAGAGGCACGAAAUAAGAUCACGGGAGCCAACAGAGGUCCCACAGCAGGCAGCUCCCACCUCCCAUUACCAGGCCUGGCUGUAAGAGCUCCCCACAGCACGGACUCACCUUGCAAAGCCCAUCGGAUGCCAUCAGCAUGGACUUACUUUGAUACACGCUGCCUCAGCUGCCUUCAGGAUGUGCAAAACCGCUUGAACAAGGUUCUGUGUGUUGCUCACGAGCAGCUCGGAGGAGGAUUUGCUCUCUGCAGUGACUGCUUUUACCCUUCAGAGACAUUUUAAAGCACGGAGGAACAUUGGUGUGUUCCCCCCAUGUGGUCAGUUACUCCUACUCCAAACCCAGAAGGUCGUUCCCUGCACUAUCAGAGCAGGUUUCCAGGGAAAACAGGGGAGGAAGGGGCUGUCUGCAGCAACAGGAAGAGGAUCCCUAACGGCUACACCCAGAUCCCUCAAGGACUUCUGGAGACCCCCAAGCACAUCUCUUUGGGAAGGGUCCCACCAGCCCUGGAGAGGUGUCUCACCUGGCCACGAUGCCGAGCUGGCUGCUGAUGGUGUGGGCCUGCUCGGUGGCACAGAGCAGCUCCAUGGAGC